GAUGAACGCUAGCUACAGGCUUAACACAUGCAAGUCGAGGGGAAACGAUAUUGGAAGCUUUGCUUCCGAUAGGCGUCGACCGGCGCACGGGUGAGUAACGCGUAUCCAACCUGCCCGUCACUUGGGGAAUAACCUUGCGAAAGUAAGACUAAUGCCCAAUGACAUUUAUAGAAGGCAUCUGAAAUGAAUUAAAGAUUUAUCGGUGAUGGAUGGGGAUGCGUCUGAUUAGCUUGUUGGCGGGGUAACGGCCCACCAAGGCGACGAUCAGUAGGGGUUCUGAGAGGAAGGUCCCCCCACAUUGGGAACUGAGACACGGGUCCAAACUCCUACGGGAGCAGCAGUGAGGAAUAUUGGGUCAAUGGGCAGAGCCUGAACCAGCCAAGUAGCGUGCA
RNAcentral lists this ribosomal RNA (392 nucleotides) under uncultured bacterium. RNAcentral describes it as "bacterial SSU rRNA". It matches the Rfam family "Bacterial small subunit ribosomal RNA", at positions 28 to 405 of the family's 1533-position model. The record is from RNAcentral.